UACGUAGGGUGCAAGCGUUAAUCGGAAUUACUGGGCGUAAAGCGUGCGCAGGCGGUUAUGUAAGACAGAUGUGAAAUGCCCGGGCUUAACCUGGGAACUGCAUUUGUGACUGCAUGGCUAGAGUUUGGCAGAGGGGGGUAGAAUUCCACGUGUAGCAGUGAAAUGCGUAGAUAUGUGGAGGAACACCGAUGGCGAAGGCAGCCCCCUGGGUCAAGACUGACGCUCAUGCACGAAAGCGUGGGGAGCAAACGGG
RNAcentral lists this ribosomal RNA (253 nucleotides) under uncultured bacterium. RNAcentral's name for it is "partial 16S ribosomal RNA". It matches the Rfam family "Bacterial small subunit ribosomal RNA", at positions 524 to 776 of the family's 1533-position model. The record is from RNAcentral.